CUUCACACACACGGUCCGUACACGUACGCGCGAUCGUCGUCGUCUGGUCGUCUCGUCCACGCGUAAUAGGAAAAAAACAACAUAUUAUUAUUGCCGUCACGUCUCGUCGCCGCCGUUUGACAUUUUCGGCGGAUAAAACGAACGCACUCGCCGCGGGUUUUUCGCGUCGUAUACGCAAUAUUCUACUCGCAAAACGUUCGCACGUUCGUCCAGUUCCGUCUCCGUCGUCGUCGCGAACCGCGGACCCGUGCGCACAGUGUUGAUCGGGCCGAAGGAGCGACGCGAAUGCUUUAAGUCGCGCGGUUCAAUUUAUUAAACCCGGGUGUCCGCUUAUUUUUUUAAAUUGCCCUUAAACGAAGUUUAUUUAAUAUAACUACGUCGUUUGGUCCUCGUGUGCGGCGUGUCCCAAUUCAGCCCAUCAUCGUUCCAAUUGUAGACAAUCAACAGAAAUUAACGGCGACUAUCGCAACCCCC
Non-coding RNA from Cinara cedri, 474 nucleotides. The record is from the annotation of a GenBank genome assembly. Lineage: Eukaryota; Metazoa; Arthropoda; Insecta; Hemiptera; Aphididae.